CUGAACCAGCCAAGUAGCGUGAAGGAUGACUGCCCUAUGGGUUGUAAACUUCUUUUAUACGGGAAUAAAGUGAGCCACGUGUGGCUUUUUGUAUGUACCGUAUGAAUAAGGAUCGGCUAACUCCGUGCCAGCAGCCGCGGUAAUACGGAGGAUUCGAGCGUUAUCCGGAUUUAUUGGGUUUAAAGGGAGCGUAGGCGGACGCUUAAGUCAGUUGUGAAAGUUUGCGG
Molecule: ribosomal RNA, 227 nt
Filed under: uncultured bacterium
Lineage: Bacteria
Description: partial 16S ribosomal RNA
Rfam family: Bacterial small subunit ribosomal RNA
Source: RNAcentral